This 214-nucleotide ribosomal RNA is filed under the name uncultured bacterium. RNAcentral's name for it is "partial 16S ribosomal RNA". It matches the Rfam family "Bacterial small subunit ribosomal RNA", at positions 1289 to 1500 of the family's 1533-position model. The record is from RNAcentral.
CAGUUCGGAUUGUAGCCUGCAACCCGGCUACAUGAAGCUGGAGUUACUAGUAAUCGCAGAUCAGAAUGCUGCGGUGAAUGCGUUCCCGGGUCUUGUACACACCGCCCGUCACACCACGGAAGUUGGGGGCGCCCGAAGCCACUUAGCUAACCCUUUUGGGAAGCGAGUGUCGAAGGUGAAAUCAAUAACUGGGGUGAAGUCGUAACAAGGUAAC